AAAAGUCCUUCAUACUACUAAAUAUUCAUGGUAACAUGUGAUAAUUUUCUUUUCCCCAUUAUAAAAUUUUCUUCUCCAUAUGGUCCUGAAAUGUAAAGUAUAACGUUACCUGCGAAAGGUGUCAGUGGAUGUUAAAAAUACCCAGAUAUCAAUGUAUAUAAGAAACAAUAGGGGACCCAAGACUAUAACCUUCAUAUUAUUUUCACAGGCUCUCGUGAAUUUUAACAGCUUGUACUCUUUGUGACAAAUAAUUUUGUGAUUAAAUUGAAGGAACUAUUAGUUUGUAAUGGUC
Molecule: long non-coding RNA, 292 nt
Organism: Leptinotarsa decemlineata (Colorado potato beetle)
Lineage: Eukaryota; Metazoa; Arthropoda; Insecta; Coleoptera; Chrysomelidae
Source: RefSeq, a predicted model, not a curated record